This 657-nucleotide ribosomal RNA is filed under the name Binderoboletus segoi. RNAcentral describes it as "eukaryotic LSU rRNA". The stretch from base 220 to 374 matches the Rfam family "5.8S ribosomal RNA". The record is from RNAcentral. Lineage: Eukaryota; Fungi; Basidiomycota; Agaricomycetes; Boletales; Boletaceae.
CAUUAUCGAACCGUGGAGGGGGAAGGAGGACACUGUCGCUGGCUUGGAUCUCUGAGCAUGUGCACGUCAAUCCUUUCUCUGAAACGCACGUACAACACACCUGUGCACUCGUUGUAGGUCCUUGAGAUAGAGGAUCUACGUUUCUCAUCAUCACACACGUCGUAUGUCUAGAAUGCGUUCAGAACGUCGAAUCUACUUCGAUGCUCGAUAAACGAAUACAACUUUCAGCAACGGAUCUCUUGGCUCUCGCAUCGAUGAAGAACGCAGCGAAUUGCGAUAAGUAAUGUGAAUUGCAGAUUUUCAGUGAAUCAUCGAAUCUUUGAACGCACCUUGCGCUCCUUGGUAUUCCAAGGAGCAUGCCUGUUUGAGUGUCAUCGAAUUCUCAACCAUGUCUCGAUCGACUUCGAGACCUUGGCUUGGAGUUGGGAGUUGCUGGUGGUGAAGGCCGUCAGCUCUCCUGAAAUGCAUUAGCAAAGGAUGGGCGAGUCUUCGUGUGACGGCCUUGGACGUGAUAAUGAUCGUCAUGGCUGGAGCACCUCUGGAUGCCGCUUCGGUCUUUUUGCUUCUAAAGCGUCCUGCAGUCGUAGUGCAGUCAGUCUUUCGAAACUUGACCUCAAAUCAGGUAGGACUACCCGCUGAACUUAAGCAUAUCAAUAA